RNAcentral lists this unclassified non-coding RNA (338 nucleotides) under soil metagenome. RNAcentral describes it as "partial contains 5.8S ribosomal RNA, internal transcribed spacer 2, and large subunit ribosomal RNA". The stretch from base 1 to 120 matches the Rfam family "5.8S ribosomal RNA", at positions 35 to 154 of the family's 154-position model. The record is from RNAcentral.
GAUGAAGAACGUAGCGAAAUGCGAUAAGUAAUGUGAAUUGCAGAAUUCAGUGAAUCAUCGAAUCUUUGAACGCACAUUGCGCCCACCAGCAUUCUGGCGGGCAUGCCUGUUCGAGCGUCAUUUCAACCCUCAAGCUCUGCUUGGUGUUGGGGCCCUACGGUUGACGUAGGCCCUUAAAGGUAGUGGCGGACCCUCUCGGAGCCUCCUUUGCGUAGUAACUAACGUCUCGCAUUGGGAUUCGGAGGGACUCUUGCCGUAAAACCCCCAAAUUUUCUAAUGGUUGACCUCGGAUCAGGUAGGAAUACCCGCUGAACUUAAGCAUAUCAAUAAGCGGAGGA